ACACGUAGGGGCCUGACGUUGUUCGGAAUCAUUGGGCGUAAAGGGCGCGCAGGCGGCCGUCCAAGUCCGGUGUUAAAUGGUCGGGCUCAACCCGAUCAUGCGCUGGAAACUGGGCGGCUUGAGUCCCGUAGGGGAUGCCGGAAUUCAAGGUGUAGGGGGGAAAUCUGUAGAUAUCUGGAAGAACACCGAUGGCGAAGGCAGGCAUCUGGCCGGAGACUGACGCUGAGGCGCGAAGGCGCGGGGAGCGAACAGGUUUAGAUACCCUGGUAGUCCGCGCAGUAAACGAUGCGCACCAGGUGUCGGGCGGCAGCUCCCGGUACCGGAGCUAACGCGAUGAGUGCGCCGCCUGGGGAGUAUGCCCGCAAGGGUGAAACUCAAAUGAAUUGACGGGG
Molecule: ribosomal RNA, 392 nt
Filed under: uncultured bacterium
Lineage: Bacteria
Description: partial 16S ribosomal RNA
Rfam family: Bacterial small subunit ribosomal RNA
Source: RNAcentral